CUACGGGCCGCAGCAGUGAGGAAUAUUGCGCAAUGGGGGAAACCCUGACGCAGCGACGCCGCGUGGAUGAUGAAGGCCUUCGGGUCGUAAAAUCCUGUCAGAAGGAAAGAAGUGUAUGGUAGCUAAUAUCUGCCAUACUUGACGGUACCUUCAAAGGAAGCACCGGCUAACUCCGUGCCAGCAGCCGCGGUAAUACGGAGGGUGCAAGCGUUGUUCGGAAUUACUGGGCGUAAAGCGCGCGUAGGCGGUUUUAUAAGUCAGAUGUGAAAGUCCACGGCUCAACCAUGGAAGUGCAUUUGAAACUGUACGACUUGAGUAUUGGAGGGGGUAGUGGAAUUCCCGGUGUAGAGGUGAAAUUCGUAGAUAUCGGGAGGAAUACCGGUGGCGAAGGCGACUAUCUGGCCAAAUACUGACGCUGAGGUGCGAAAGCGUGGGGAGCAAACAGGAUUAGAUACCCCCGUAGUC
RNAcentral lists this ribosomal RNA (465 nucleotides) under uncultured bacterium. RNAcentral describes it as "partial 16S ribosomal RNA". It matches the Rfam family "Bacterial small subunit ribosomal RNA", at positions 339 to 795 of the family's 1533-position model. The record is from RNAcentral.